GACCACAACUAUCUGCCUCAUUCACAGCUUCAUUCGGACCCACUCACAUCAUUCGGAAACAUGCUCAACAAACCAUCAGAGCUGCAGCACUCACACAUCAGCAGAACAUCAUUCGGAGCACUCAUGUUUUUACUUUUUCGUGAGGUGGUUUCUUGGCCACGGAGAGGCACAGGAGAAGAAAAGGAGGAUUCCGUUUGAGUGGAGAGAGGGCUGGUAGCCUUUCAUACUUUUCAUUUGAAGGAGUGAUGUGUGGGGCAGCUGAAGGAGUGAUGUGUAAGUGCUAAAAGUGAAAGAAAUCAAGAUAAAACAAAUCAAUUAAUCUUCAGCAAGUGGAUGUUUUCGGCUACCAGCCGAAGUGCUCAUCAAGUCGAAGGGAAUUUUAUUAAAAGUAUUAAUUUGAUGGUGCACGAGAUUGAAGAAGUGAUAAGUGGGGUCAGUUUGGUAGAGAGGUGGGAAGCUACUGACAUGCAAUGAACACACCAUGCAUGGGACUCACACGAAGCAACUCAACAACUCACACAUGCAUGAUAGCAAUUCAGACAUGCAGGGGCCACGGCUGGAGUGCUAUGCUUUAUCUUUUUUCGUGGAAGUGGGGAGCUUGAGUGGAGAGAGUGGAAUGAUUUUUGCUUUCCUUACUUUUCCGUUUAGUGGAGAGAGUUUGAUUCUUCUUCUUUUUUUUUGUUUUUGGUUUCAUACGGAGGGACGGCUUGAGUGGAGAGAGUUGAGAUGCUUCCCUUGAGUGGAGAGAGUGGUCCCGGGAGCAUGAUUUUGCUUUCCAUUUCUCUUUCCCUUGAGUGGAGAGCCACGGCUGGAGUGCUUAGCUUUUACUUGAGUGGAGAGACCGAAUGAUGCUUCCCUUGAGUGGAGAGGGACGGCUGGUGGUAUUGGGGUGGAGCUUGCUUUUGCUUGGAUGGAAACUUCUUGCUUUACUUUAAGGGGAAGGACAUGACACUUCUUCUUCUCGGGCAGUAGCUUAGGGGAAGGACAUGACACUUCUUCUUCUCGGGCAGUAGCUUAGGGGAAGGCUUUUGCUUUUCUUAUUUUGUUUUGGUUCAGACCUGGAGCUCGGUCAGUAGGAGUUUAGUAGGAGUUGAACUUGUUGUUUUUUCUUUCAUUCUCAUUCGGACAGCAGUAGCUAAGUUUUUGUUUUUUUUUCUGUUUCUUUGUUUUCUCAUUUGGACAGCAGAGUAGUGAGAGUUUAGUUUUAAGUUCUUGUUUUCGUGUACCUAGCAAGGAGAGCAGCAGGCAGCAACACAUGACACUUCUUCUUCUCGGGCAGUAGUUGUUUUAGGAGUGCAAGCUUGAUCUAAGCAAUAAUAGAUUCAAUGGCACCAUACCAAUGAAAUCUGCAACAUGUCAAUGCAAUUCGUGCUCUGAAAUUCAUUUAAAGGGGACCUCGUGAGAUUGGAAACUGUGUUUGAAUUGCAAAUGUACAGCAGCAAAGCAAACAUGCAUGGGACUCCAUGGAAUAAAUAAAAGAGACAAAGGUGAAAGCAAUUAAUGUGGGGCUGGAAAAGAAAUCAUCCAAGAAAUCAUCCACUCGGCAACCUUGGUUUGAAUUGAAUAAGAUGGGAGAAAUCGGUGGAUUGAGGCCAUGUAUAAAGAAUGAAGAAACAUGUGCAACCGGUGAGUGUGCUGGAAUUAAACUAUGUUGUGCUGGAAAGUAAAGAGAAAGCAACCGGUGGGUGUUUUUAUUUUUGCUGCAGCCGAUCGGUGCAUGAGUUUGGAGCUGGUGAGUUGUGCUGGAAAGAGAGGCAGCAAUCGGUUGAGAGGUGAUUGAAGAGAUCAUCCGUGAUGGAGGAGAACAAUUGAUGUGGGGUUGUUGUGUUUAGCCUUUAUUAGUUAAUUAUCCUAAGAUGAAGAGAGAGUGGAGUCGCUGAAAGUGAAUGCAUGAAUAUAGAAAGGGUGAGAAAAAGUGAGUAGAGAGGGAGAGUAAUGAGUGGAAGAGUAAUGAGUGGAAGAGCUGAACUUAAAGAAAAGGAAUAAAGGAGUGUGCAGCCGAGAUGAAGGAGUGAAAGGUGGGAGUCGGAAUUGAGGAAUUUAGCUGGAACUUCGGACAACAUGGGACCAGACACAUGGACAGCACUCCACUCACACGAAGCACUCAACAAACCACACAUGCAUGAUAGCAAUUCAGACAUGCAGGGGCCACGGCUGGAGUGCUAUGUCUUUUACUUUUUUCGUGGAGGUGGGGGGCUUGAGUGGAGAGAGCUUACUUUUCCCUUGAGUGGAGUGAGUGGUCCCGUGAGAUGCUUCCCUUGAGUGGAGAGGGACGGCUGGUGGUGCUUGGGUGGAGCUUGCUUUUGCUUUGAUGGUGGACUUCUUGCUUUACUUUCGAGUGGGGAGAGGAGAAUGUUGGUGGGGUACUUCUUGCUUUACUUGGAGACUGAGUGGGGGUUCUUGCUUGCUUUUGCUUUUGGAUGGUGCAGCCGAGAUUGGAAGGAUGCUUCCCUUGAGUGGAGAGACCGAAUGAUGCUUCCCUUGAGUGGAGAGGGAGUUUGCUUUUGCUUUGAUGGGAACUUCUUGCUUUAUUUUCAGAGGGGAGACUUGGAAGAAAGGGAGCUCGGGCAGUAGUUUAGUUUAAAGUUUCUAUUCUUUUUGUUGAACCGGGGGGAGUUGUUUACACGGUCAGUCUUUAGUGUUUGUUUUUCUUAUUUUGUUUGCUGUUUAGAAGAAGUGGCAGCAACCAGGAGUCUUCGGAGGGGAUCUUUCUUAUUUCUUUCAGACUUUGAAGAAUUGGAGCUCGGGCAGUUUUUUUAGUUGUUUUCUUAUUUUGUCUUCUGUUUUAAAAGCAAGCAUAGCACCACGGUGUGGGAGUUUUUGGACUUGUUUUAUUUUCUGUUGAGAAUCUAGUAGCAGCACAAGUUUUUGUUUUGGUCUUUUUAUUUUCUGUUUUCAAGAAGUAGCAGCAGUGCAAGUUUGUUUUGUUUUGAUCUUAAUUUAUUUUCUGUUUAGAAGAAGCAACAGUGCAGUUUUUGGUUUUUUUCAUUUAUUGUAUUGCUUUUACUUUGAGACCUCAUGAACUAGGCGGUUUGCCUUGUCUUCAUGCAUUUAAUUUUCGUUUAGCAGUU
Carya illinoinensis is the source of this 3071-nucleotide long non-coding RNA. RefSeq lists it as uncharacterized. Lineage: Eukaryota; Viridiplantae; Streptophyta; Magnoliopsida; Fagales; Juglandaceae. The transcript has 2 exons. The record is from RefSeq and is a predicted model, not a curated record.